GUUUGCUGUAUUUUUCACCGUGAAUUUUUUUUAUCUGAAUUGUUUUCAGAUUGGAAAUAAUUGUUGAAUCGAUGGCGAGAAGGUGACACCUCGUAGAUACUGAUGCUCGAAGGACUGGGAUUUCCUCCAACCGAGAUGCCACCAUGAUUACUGCUAUUUAUGUUUAGAAGGGAUCGACUUGAUAAAGUGAUGGAAUCAACUGAUAAUGUUCCAAACAGGUUUGUCUUUGAUCCAGAUUUAGGAGUAAGAGUUGUCUUUUUAAUACUGUCAUCAGGAUAAAUCCUUUUAUCAUUAUUUAAAUAACGGCAGAUAAAGGUUAUCAUUGCUUUCGUGGAAAGCUGGACCAAUCUAAUGAGGGAUAUUUCUGUCCACAAACUGAGAACCGAAGCUGAAAAACAAAUGUAAUCAAGGAAUGAACGUGAAGGUACGUAUUGUAUUCUUGUUUCAGUUCCAAGAGGAUAAUCAAUCGAGACUCGAUAAUCACCGCGAUUGAUGAAAGGUGACUCAAAUUCAGAGCCCAUAAUGGCUUGGUAUAGAUACUCAUUACAUGGAGCCUGUAAAAAUUGUGCAUUACAGAAGCCUGUAUGAUUAUCUAAAUGGUUUCGUAUACCAAACCGUCCAUCUUUCACUUCGUCACUUAUCUUGGUGAACCGGCGAUUGAUAAAUCCUUUGCUCUCAUUGUAAGACAUCUCUAAAGUACAUUUUUUAAUACAAGUUCUUCUUUCCUUACAGGGUAAUUUGGAAUAGUCAUAACAUCUCGACUCGUAUGGCUCUGGUAGGGAAUGAAUAAUGGUCUUAUGAUAUGAAAUUGUGGCUCGAUUAUUGUGCUUGGUGUCAAAAUAAACGAAUGAUGGAGUCCCAAGAACGUCGUCAAGUUCAGAUAUUGGAUGAGUUAAAUAGACACCGACUUUGGUUAUAACUGGAUGGGAUACAUUUAAAGUAAAAUCAACCAUCCUGUUGGAACCAAUCAGCUCUUUCGAGUAACUUAUCGGUACGGUUGUAUUAGUGAACAGGGUGAAACACUUUGAAUACAGCGAGAUGAAUUCUGCCUUUUCCUGAGAUAUGUCUUCACAUGGUCUAAAAACGUAUUCACUAUCCAUAACAUAACAAUUUUUAACAAACUCACUCCAUGAAAGCAAACGUGAAUCAAUUUCACCUAAAGUUAGUGAGGUUUGACUGAUGUUGUUACCAAGGGGUAUAAGUUUCAAUCCUGAAAUCUUGUAAAAAAAGCAUAUUGAUAUGGCUGGUAGGUCAGUUUGCUGUGGGCUCUUUAUUUGAACAGAAGUUGACGUUUUGAAUUCAAAGUAAAUUUGUGUUAACACAGCGGUUUGGACCAAAGCACCAGUAUAACAGACAAGAACGGCAAAGGCUCGAUGAGAUAUUGCACGGCUAAGGAAAUGACGCCAAGGUGAAGCUGAAAAGGGUUUAACUGGUUUCCAAGCUGAAGACGAUGAUCUAGCUCCAGGAUAAUAUGGAUAGGUGAAUCGCUGGGAAACACGAGAUCUAGUCUCACGAUAACUAUGAUUUGGCAAACUGGACAUUACACUAUUAACCAUAAUCUUUUACCUUCAAGAGUCAGACGUAAAUUGAACAUGAAAGCAAGAAAUCGAGUAAAACUCUGAACCAGUCAAUGAAAAAUAUAAAGAACAAUCAAACUAAGAAUAAAUGG
RNAcentral lists this small RNA (1669 nucleotides) under Tetranychus urticae (two-spotted spider mite). RNAcentral describes it as "sRNA tetur13g04976". Lineage: Eukaryota; Metazoa; Arthropoda; Arachnida; Trombidiformes; Tetranychidae. The record is from RNAcentral.